RNAcentral lists this ribosomal RNA (253 nucleotides) under uncultured bacterium. RNAcentral's name for it is "partial 16S ribosomal RNA". It matches the Rfam family "Bacterial small subunit ribosomal RNA", at positions 524 to 776 of the family's 1533-position model. The record is from RNAcentral.
UACGUAGGGUGCGAGCGUUGUCCGGAAUUAUUGGGCGUAAAGAGCUUGUAGGCGGUUUGUCGCGUCUGCUGUGAAAAUCCGGGGCUCAACCCCGGACUUGCAGUGGGUACGGGCAGACUAGAGUGUGGUAGGGGAGACUGGAAUUCCUGGUGUAGCGGUGAAAUGCGUAGAUAUCGAGAGGAACACCUGCGGCGAAGGCGGGUUGCUGGGCCGACACUGACGCUGAUGCGCGAAAGCCAGGGGAGCGAACGGG